RNAcentral lists this ribosomal RNA (791 nucleotides) under uncultured organism. RNAcentral describes it as "bacterial SSU rRNA". It matches the Rfam family "Bacterial small subunit ribosomal RNA", at positions 20 to 799 of the family's 1533-position model. The record is from RNAcentral.
UGGCUCAGAACGAACGCUGGCGGCGCGUUUUAAGCAUGCAAGUCGAACGGUAGUCAGGUGCUUGCACCUGAUGAGAGUGGCGAACGGGUGAGUAACACGUAGGUGAUCUACCUAGAAGUUGGGGAUAGCCUGUGGAAACACAGGGUAAUACCGAAUGAGCCUAUAUACAUACGUGUAUGUAGGGAAAGAGGCUCAGGCCUCGCUUGUAGUUGAGCCUGCGGCUCAUUAGCUAGUUGGGAGGGUAAAGGCCUACCAAGGCGACGAUGAGUAGCCGACCUGAGAGGGUGGGCGGUCACACUGGGACUGAGACACGGCCCAGACUCCUACGGGAGGCAGCAGCUAAGAAUCUUCCGCAAUGGUCGAAAGGCUGACGGAGCGACGCCGCGUGGACGAAGAAGGCCGGAAGGUUGUAAAGUUCUUUUCUCAGAGAAGAAUAAGGUGAGGAGGGAAUGCCUCAUUGAUGACGUUAUCUGAGGAAUAAGCCCCGGCUAAUUACGUGCCAGCAGCCGCGGUAACACGUAAGGGGCGAGCGUUGUUCGGAAUUAUUGGGCGUAAAGGGCGCGUAGGCGGCUGAACAAGCCUGGUGUGAAAGGCCACAGCUUAACUGUGGGAGUGCGCUGGGAACUGUUUGGCUAGAGUUCAGGAGGGGAAGCGGGAAUUCCUGGUGUAGGGGUGAAAUCUGUAGAUAUCAGGAAGAACACCUGUGGCGAAGGCGAGCUUCUGGCCAUGAACUGACGCUGAGGCGCGAAAGCGUGGGGAGCGAACAGGAUUAGAUACCCUGGUAGUCCACG